Molecule: non-coding RNA, 23 nt
Filed under: Arabidopsis thaliana (thale cress)
Lineage: Eukaryota; Viridiplantae; Streptophyta; Magnoliopsida; Brassicales; Brassicaceae
Source: RNAcentral
GAAACUAGGUGUGAGGUUUGGGA